This 69-nucleotide transfer RNA is filed under the name Rattus norvegicus (Norway rat). It matches the Rfam family "tRNA". From Rfam's summary of the family: Transfer RNA (tRNA) molecules are approximately 80 nucleotides in length. Their secondary structure includes four short double-helical elements and three loops (D, anti-codon, and T loops). Further hydrogen bonds mediate the characteristic L-shaped molecular structure. tRNAs have two regions of fundamental functional importance: the anti-codon, which is responsible for specific mRNA codon recognition, and the 3' end, to which the tRNAs corresponding amino acid is attached (by aminoacyl-tRNA synthetases). tRNAs cope with the degeneracy of the genetic code in two manners: having more than one tRNA (with a specific anti-codon) for a particular amino acid; and 'wobble' base-pairing, i.e. permitting non-standard base-pairing at the 3rd anti-codon position. Lineage: Eukaryota; Metazoa; Chordata; Mammalia; Rodentia; Muridae. The record is from Rfam by way of RNAcentral.
GGGGGUUUGGCUCAGUGGUAGAGCACUUGCCUAGCAAGCGCAAGGCCCUGGGUUCGGUCCCCAGCUCCG